This is a long non-coding RNA of Salmo salar (Atlantic salmon), 1288 nucleotides long. RefSeq lists it as uncharacterized. The record is from RefSeq and is a predicted model, not a curated record. Lineage: Eukaryota; Metazoa; Chordata; Actinopteri; Salmoniformes; Salmonidae.
GAUUGUGUCAGGAAUUCAGCAUAGCAAGUUUGUAUGAAGGUCGGGUUAUUAAAUGGAUACAUAGUUCAAUAGUAAUAUCCUCUAAAACGCUCUGGUGACAAACAAACUUUGCUGCCCUGUUUCCAAUUGUCCACAUGGCUAGGAGAACCAAUUCAAGCUGCUGCUCUGCAGGAUGUUUCAAGGAUGGGGUCCAACAACGCAGCAAGAGGCAAUCCGUGUGCGGGAGAUCUUCACCUCCUACUUCUUCGAAGAGGGUGCUGUUCCCUGGCAACACCAUAGACUACACUAUCCACAACCAAAGGCUCUUUUAAGAGCCAUUCACAUUGCAAUAAGAGUAUUCUUCCAUUUACUUAACUAUGUCAACUGCAGUUAUUCAAUUCCCAGUUUCUCUCCUUUUGAUUUCUAAUUCUCAGGUGAGGGUGCUGUUUAGGUAAGGGUGUGAUGUCUGUACAAAAACAAAACAGGCUAUUAUAAAUCACCCAUAUUGAAAAAAAUGUUGAACAAUUAGACACCCUAUAACCCACACACAUGUAUCAAUCUGAUUGAUGGAUAGUGUUGUGCAGGCUCAGGUGUAUAACUGUGGCUCCUUCCACCUUCAAAGAAUAGGCAAGAGGACCAACCAUGGUAAGACACUUCAUUAUUUCUAUAACUACGCUAUAUUGUUUGUCCUCGCGUGUCCGUUCAUGUUUUUCAGCAUAAAGUACUCUGCAGCCACUUAGUGUGGACACCAGUGAGGUCACACACAGUUUCCUGUUGAACACUGACUCUUUAACUACCUUAUUUUCUCAAUAACUCUCUCUCCUUUACUUCAUCCCUCUCUCCUCUUCUCCCUAAAUCCUCUAGGUUAUAUCAGCUGUGUCGGUGAACCCCUCCCGAAUCUGAACUGGAUGACACAUAGAGGACACAGCGUGAUCAGAGAUACGUUUUGAUGUGAGAGAGGAUGCCAACCCCCAUUCCCAUCAUCGCCACCUCACCCACUCUUAAGAUAACCUUCGGGCUGACUAGAGACACUAUUAUAUAAUUGUGAUGAAAUGAGAAAAUAUUUGAGUUGCACUGAUUCAUUAACCAUAUGCUGCCUUCCCUGCUCCUAAGUUCAUAACUCUUUCCCUUUGUCUUUUACACCUCUCGCCACCUUUCUUCCUGUGCAUUAUAAUGCACAACAGAUGUGCAUUGAAGUACAGAUUGAAUUUGUAUUUGUAAUAUUACAAUUAUAUUUGUAAUGCAUGUAUUUAUAACCCUUUGAUAAUGCACUUUCAAUAAAGUGUUUCACAUUCUCUACUGGUUAAAA